GAGACGCUUUAGUCCUUCGGGACACGAAACUAGGUGCUGCAUGGCUGUCGUCAGCUCGUGCCGUGAGGUGUUGGUUAAGUCCCGCAACGAGCGCAACCCCUAUGUUUAGUUGCCAGCACGUUAAGGUGGGGACUCUAAACAGACUGCCUAUGCAAAUAGAGAGGAAGGAGGGGACGACGUCAAGUCAUCAUGGCCCUUACGUCCGGGGCUACACACGUGCUACAAUGGAUGGUACAGAGGGCUGCUACCUGGCAACAGGAUGCCAAUCUCUCAAAGCCAUUCACAGUUCGGAUCGGGGUCUGCAACUCGACCCCGUGAAGUUGGAUUCGCUAGUAAUCGCGUAUCAGCAAUGACGCGGUGAAUACGUUCCCGGGUCUUGUACACACCGA
RNAcentral lists this ribosomal RNA (389 nucleotides) under uncultured bacterium. RNAcentral describes it as "bacterial SSU rRNA". It matches the Rfam family "Bacterial small subunit ribosomal RNA", at positions 1003 to 1393 of the family's 1533-position model. The record is from RNAcentral.